GCAUAUCAAUAAGCGGAGGAAAAGAAACUAACAAGGAUUCCCUUAGUAACGGCGAGUGAAGCGGGAAGAGCUCAAAUUUGGAAUCUUCAAGGUUCUACCUUGACGAAUUGUAGUUUAAAGAAGUGUUUUCUGUUAGAUGAGUAGCAAAAGUUCCUUGGAAUGGGACAUCAUAGAGGGUGAGAAUCCCGUAUUUGGUUAUUCAUUCUAGCUUUGUGAUACACUUUCAAAGAGUCGGAUUGUUUGGGAAUGCAGUCCAAAAUGGGUGGUAAAUUUCAUCUAAAGCUAAAUAUUGGCGAGAGACCGAUAGCGAACAAGUACCGUGAGGGAAAGAUGAAAAGAACUUUGAAAAGAGAGUUAAACAGUACGUGAAAUUGUCAAAAGGGAAGCGUUUGACACCAGUGUUGUUUUUCCGAAAAUCAAUUACGAAUGGCUUGAUUUUGUGUUGUAUUGACCUUAUCAGCUUUCUGCACUUUUUUCGAGUCUUUCUUAAUGCACUUUUCGGUUAACAAGUCAACAUCAAUUUCUUUUGUUGUAAAAGAGUAUUCGGAAGGUGGCUUUCUUUUCGGAGAAAGUGUUUAUAGCCCUAUACUUCUACAAUCGGAGAGAUUGAGGUCUGCAGCGUAGAUCCUUCGGGGUUAGAUACAUUUGUGCUAAGUUGUAGCUUUUCAUAGACAACUUGUUGACUAUGUUUAGUCAUGCGGCUUACUCGCUUAUGCUAUUUUACCUACGCUUAGGAUGUUGACAAAAUGGUUUUAAACGACCCGUCUUGAAACACGGACC
This 780-nucleotide ribosomal RNA is filed under the name Neocallimastix frontalis. Its description in RNAcentral is "partial large subunit ribosomal RNA". It matches the Rfam family "Eukaryotic large subunit ribosomal RNA", at positions 38 to 667 of the family's 3401-position model. Lineage: Eukaryota; Fungi; Neocallimastigomycota; Neocallimastigomycetes; Neocallimastigales; Neocallimastigaceae. The record is from RNAcentral.